Molecule: transfer RNA, 85 nt
Filed under: Candidatus Lindowbacteria bacterium RIFCSPLOWO2_02_FULL_62_12
Lineage: Bacteria; Candidatus Lindowiibacteriota
Also listed under: 1 other name
Description: tRNA-Leu
Rfam family: tRNA
About the family: Transfer RNA (tRNA) molecules are approximately 80 nucleotides in length. Their secondary structure includes four short double-helical elements and three loops (D, anti-codon, and T loops). Further hydrogen bonds mediate the characteristic L-shaped molecular structure. tRNAs have two regions of fundamental functional importance: the anti-codon, which is responsible for specific mRNA codon recognition, and the 3' end, to which the tRNAs corresponding amino acid is attached (by aminoacyl-tRNA synthetases). tRNAs cope with the degeneracy of the genetic code in two manners: having more than one tRNA (with a specific anti-codon) for a particular amino acid; and 'wobble' base-pairing, i.e. permitting non-standard base-pairing at the 3rd anti-codon position.
Source: RNAcentral
GCCGGGAUGGCGGAAUUUGGCAGACGCACCAGCUUGAGGGGCUGGCGGGGGCAACCUCGUGGGAGUUCAAAUCUCCCUCCCGGCA